CUUAGUUACACUCGGAAAUUAGCUUGCAAACUGUAACAGUAAAUAUCAUGGAUCUUUUUAUUGACUUCAAACUGUAACUCAUUAAAUUAGCUAUGGUGGUUUUGCAGCCAUUACAUAAAUCCUGCUGUAAUUAUCCCACGCUGCAAAUAAAAGCUACAUUUACUUUUUUCUUUUUUAAACAGAGGUAGUGGAAUCUCCUGCUUGCAAAUGAAUACUAUUUCACUUCCUUCUAAUUUGCUCUAAUUACAAAAGAAGAAUACCCUUUGAUGUUGGUGUUAAUAUUUUUACCUCCAGAUAUACAUGGCAGAUGGUAAUUUAAAUUGUGUUACAUUGAAAGUUAGUUGUUGUAUAUGUAUAUAAUUACUGCAGAAUAAUUAUCCUCUUAAAACGGUUUAUGUAACUUUCUUCUGUAACAAUAAGGACUACUGUAGCACAGAUGUGAUUGAUUUGACCUGAUAACCUAUAAACGAAUGAUUAUUCUCAUGAAAUAGAGCUUGCGGUGUUGUCACAACUAAGGUGUUUCCAGAGGCAUUAGUCACUGUCCUUGUGAAUUCAUACAACCACACCUCAAACCAUUCUAAAGUUAUUGCCUACAUGUCUUACGUGUAAUUAUGUGUGCCUGAGUUCUGAGAAAGAGUUAUGCACCCAUUACAUAUAUACCGUAUUUUUCCCAUGUAUAAGACUAUGUUUUUUUCAAAACAUUUUUAGUCUAAAAUUGGGAGUCAUCUCAAACAUGAAAUGUCACUGCAGCGGUUAAAACACAAGACACUUUUGUGUGGGGCCUAAGUUAAGAUGGCGCCUGCUGCAUGCCACGGCCAACACACAUACCUGGCCUCCCUUCCGCUGAUCCACUUCUGAAUGCUGUGGCAAGACGGAAGAGGUCCCUAUAUGCGUGGGAGAUGCAGCAGACAUGAUCACUUACCACCAACGGAGCUCCAGAGACAUGCUACAUUAUAAAAGGAGCAGCCAUAGUAAGGUUUGCUCCACCUCAGGUGGGCCUUGCUUUCUGAUUUGUAUUUAUGGGGGAGGAAAUGGGGAUCAGGGAGCAGAGGGAAUACUACUGUGAUGCCCCAGCAUGCCCUCACACCACCUGCUCUAUUGUGGGAGCUAUAGUCUCCCAGCAUGAACUAUAGAGCCAUUAACUUCACAGAGUACCGUAGCACAGGGGAGGCAUUAGAAUCAGAAGAGUGCUGUUCUCCUCAGAAGUCACCUCUAAAAUAUCAAAUUUGUUCUAUUUGAUGUUUAAAAUAUUGAUUUCUUGGAGGUCGCAUGUCUUUGGAGCUCUGUCAACAAGGCCGAAAUAACCUGCAAAGAAGGAGCCUUUCUGAAACACAAACUGCACUGGCAAUAGCCAAAAGUGUUCACAAGUAUAUGGGGCGGAAGAACAAGAAACUGAGGUUGGAUCGGUCCGGGUUCUCAGCUGACAUUAGCGAGCUCUUUCGAAGGCCGCAUGGUGCGCGCGGGCUUGACAUGGUGGACGCACUGGGUGAUUUCUC
Pelobates cultripes (western spadefoot toad) is the source of this 1496-nucleotide non-coding RNA. The record is from the annotation of a GenBank genome assembly. NCBI's taxonomy places the organism in Eukaryota, Metazoa, Chordata, Amphibia, Anura, Pelobatidae.